UACGUAGGGGGCAAGCGUUAUCCGGAAUUACUGGGUGUAAAGGGCGCGUAGGCGGUUAUUUAAGUUAGAUGUGAAAUCCCAAGGCUCAACUUUGGAACUGCAUCUAAAACUGGGUAACUAGAGUGUGGGAGAGGAAAGCGGAAUUCUCAGUGUAGCGGUGAAAUGCGUAGAUAUUGAGAGGAACACCGGUGGCGAAGGCGGCUUUCUGGACCAUAACUGACGCUGAGGCGCGAAAGCGUGGGGAGCAAACAGG
This 253-nucleotide ribosomal RNA is filed under the name uncultured bacterium. RNAcentral describes it as "partial 16S ribosomal RNA". It matches the Rfam family "Bacterial small subunit ribosomal RNA", at positions 524 to 776 of the family's 1533-position model. The record is from RNAcentral.